AGCAUAUCAAUAAGCGGAGGAAAAGAAACCAACAGGGAUUGCCCUAGUAACGGCGAGUGAAGCGGCAACAGCUCAAAUUUGAAAUCUGGCUUCGGCCCGAGUUGUAAUUUGCAGAGGAAGCUUUAGGCGCGGCACCUUCUGAGUCCCCUGGAACGGGGCGCCAUAGAGGGUGAGAGCCCCGUAUAGUUGGAUGCCUAGCCUGUGUAAAGCUCCUUCGACGAGUCGAGUAGUUUGGGAAUGCUGCUCAAAAUGGGAGGUAAAUUUCUUCUAAAGCUAAAUACCGGCCAGAGACCGAUAGCGCACAAGUAGAGUGAUCGAAAGAUGAAAAGCACUUUGAAAAGAGGGUUAAACAGCACGUGAAAUUGUUGAAAGGGAAGCGCUUGUGACCAGACUUGCGCCAGGCUGAUCAUCCGGUGUUCUCACCGGUGCACUCAGCCCGGCACAGGCCAGCAUCGGUUCUCGCGGGGGGAUAAAGGUCUCGGGAACGUAGCUCCUCCGGGAGUGUUAUAGCCCGGGGCGUAAUGCCCUCGCGGGGACCGAGGUUCGCGCAUCUGCAAGGAUGCUGGCGUAAUGGUCAUCAGCGACCCGUCUUGAAACACGGACCAAGGAGUCAAGGUUUUGCGCGAGUGUUUGGGUGUCAAACCCGCACGCGUAAUGAAAGUGAACGUAGGUGAGAGCUUCGGCGCAUCAUCGACCGAUCCUGAUGUUUUCGGAUGGAUUUGAGUAGGAGCGUUAAGCCUUGGACCCGAAAGAUGGUGAACUAUGCUUGGAUAGGGUGAAGCCAGAGGAAACUCUGGUGGAGGCUCGCAGCGGUUCUGACGUGCAAAUCGAUCGUCAAAUCUGAGCAUGGGGGCGAAAGACUAAUCGAACCAUCUAGUAGCUGGUUACCGCCGAA
This 895-nucleotide ribosomal RNA is filed under the name Dichotomopilus indicus. RNAcentral describes it as "LSU rRNA". It matches the Rfam family "Eukaryotic large subunit ribosomal RNA", at positions 37 to 965 of the family's 3401-position model. Lineage: Eukaryota; Fungi; Ascomycota; Sordariomycetes; Sordariales; Chaetomiaceae. The record is from RNAcentral.